Molecule: long non-coding RNA, 314 nt
Filed under: Mytilus galloprovincialis (Mediterranean mussel)
Lineage: Eukaryota; Metazoa; Mollusca; Bivalvia; Mytilida; Mytilidae
Source: RNAcentral
UAUAUAAAGGCAACAGUAGUAUACCGCUGUUCAAACUCAUAAAUCCAUGGACAAAAAAACAAAAUCGGGGUAACAAACUAAAACUGACGGAAACGCAUAAAUAUAGAGGAGACAACGACACAACACUACAAUGUAACUAACACACACAGAAACGGACCAAGCAUCAGACAAAAUCCCACGAAAAUAACAAAUAUAACAUUAAAACCAAAUACAUGAAUUUUGGAUAGACAAGUACCGUGACACGUCUUAUCGCAAUGUCAAUUUACACUCAAAAAUAAGAGAAAACAAACGACGCAACGUUCAACUGUAACACC